This is a non-coding RNA of Pelobates cultripes (western spadefoot toad), 447 nucleotides long. Lineage: Eukaryota; Metazoa; Chordata; Amphibia; Anura; Pelobatidae. The record is from the annotation of a GenBank genome assembly.
UUUUAUUACUUCUUGCAUGUGUUGCAAAUACCACAAUGAGAAAACCCUUUCUGAAUUUCAGCCCAAGUUGUUAAAAAAUUCUUUGGUUUGUCUUUUUCAAUAAAACUUUUCGUUAAGAUCUGCUUAAAAUUUCUAGCUUCCCUGAAAAUAAAUUUAGGUUUCAAUCCUAUAUGUUUUAAAAUAUCAUAAUCUUGCAUUAAAAUAUGCCAAUUUUUGUUUACUAUUCCUUUCAAAGAAUUAACGUUACUCGCAAAGUUAAAAAUGAGAGGAAUUUCAUUAUUCUCUUUAGAUAUAUUUUUCUCUUUAUAAUUUAAAAAGUUGGAGUCUGUCGGAUUUCAAGACUUGAUUAAUUUCUUGUUGUAAGGUCUCCUCAGAAUAACCCUCUUGUUUAAAUUGUUCUUUCAAAACGUUUGCUUGAGUAAUAAAAUCUGACUGGUCAGAACAAUU